GCGUAAAGCGCACGCAGGCGGUCUGUCAAGUCGGAUGUGAAAUCCCCGGGCUCAACCUGGGAACUGCAUUCGAAACUGGCAGGCUUGAGUCUUGUAGAGGGGGGUAGAAUUCCAGGUGUAGCGGUGAAAUGCGUAGAGAUCUGGAGGAAUACCGGUGGCGAAGGCGGCCCCCUGGACAAAGACUGACGCUCAGGUGCGAAAGCGUGGGGAGCAAACAGGAUUAGAUACCCUGGUAGUCCACGCCGUAAACGAUGUCUACUUGGAGGUUGUGCCCUUGAGGCGUGGCUUCCGGAGCUAACGCGUUAAGUAGACCGCCUGGGGAGUACGGCCGCAAGGUUAAAACUCAAAUGAAUUGACGGGGGC
Molecule: ribosomal RNA, 363 nt
Filed under: Salmonella enterica subsp. enterica serovar Weltevreden
Lineage: Bacteria; Pseudomonadati; Pseudomonadota; Gammaproteobacteria; Enterobacterales; Enterobacteriaceae
Description: bacterial SSU rRNA
Rfam family: Bacterial small subunit ribosomal RNA
Source: RNAcentral